UUGUUAACACAUAAAAAUGCAGCCCAAAUCGAACAGCCCAAGGAGUGAAGCCCAAUUGGAGGAUCCUCAAAUCAGAUAGUCCAAAUAACGAAGCCCAAUCAAACAAAUCAAGAUGAAGGCCCAAAUAAGGAGGCCCAAGAACGCGGUAACGCCAUCGCCCAAGUUUGCAAGUCGCCCAGAAUCUGAGCGAAUGGAAUGUCAUAC
This 204-nucleotide long non-coding RNA is filed under the name Olea europaea (common olive). Its description in RNAcentral is "long non-coding RNA (OEUR_LNC014174)". The record is from RNAcentral. Lineage: Eukaryota; Viridiplantae; Streptophyta; Magnoliopsida; Lamiales; Oleaceae.